UUCACAUGGAGACAGGGCGAUUCAUUUCCCAGAGUUACAAGGAGCAUUAAAAGCAGCAAGACAUAAAACCGCGAGAACAAAGCCUGGCACACAAAAGAUGUUCAAAGCGCCCUUCCUUUGGGCACAGACCUUGCAGAUCUGUUCAAACAACAACCACACUAUUAAAAGCGAAGCUAUUGUAACUCAAGUUUGCCAAGGGCCGCUGGUGAUGGGGACCCAGUGGGAUUUGAAAGCCCGACCAACCGUUUCCAAGGUCCUUCGCUUUUUACCAUGAAUGAGGUUUUCUCCCUAGGGAGUGGGAAGGGAUGACCUUCGAAAAGGCGUCGAGUUUGGGGUACUCAGGCAAGUGUCGACUAAAGGUGAAGACGAGUUGCAAGGGGAAAGGGGGAAGGGAGGGAGAGAAAGAAGGAAAAGUUCGCGCUGAAGCCUGAAGAGCGCCUGGGUUUGUUUUCCUGCCUGGGACGGGGCUCUGUCUGCCCACCAGGUUCCUGGAGCGCGGCCCGCGGCUCCCAUUGGUCGGCACGCGGCUGUUGCUACGCGGAUGGACCAAUGGUGCACGAGGCCCGUGCGGGCUCCGCCCUCCCCCGGGUUGGCUUUUUCCCCCUCCGGCCUUUUUUUUUUUUUUCCACCCCCUAGAGGCGGGCCCGGCGCUGAGCUGGGGGGCGAGCCCGGGCGGGGCUGCCGCCUCCUUGCACCGCGCCCAGGGAGGUUGGUUCACCUGUCCGACUCGUUCCUCUUCUCCGAGCUCCCUCGCCCUCCUGCCUUUGCACCGCCCGGGGCAACGGCGCGGGGUGCGCGGGCUGUUUUAUUGCAUUUAUUUAUUUAUUUAUUUAUCCCUCCCGGAGCCAGUGCGAGUUUUAUGUUUUAAUAACUUUAUCAAACUCGGCGAACUUGCGCGAGGGCACGGGCAGCUUCUCUUGCCCUCCCUUCUCCUCUCCUCCCCCCGGCCCCCACCAAUCUCUAACUGGCCUCUGGGUCCCUUCCAAAAGGGGCUUCCUUCCAGUUCUCCUUCUUACGGCUUCACCACUGGUGUGGUCAACACAGCAGGCAAAAUUAACCCGACUAAAGUGUUUGAUCUACAGAUAAGAGACUCCUAUGCAUUUUGCAAGUUCGGUUUAGGAUGACCUGCACUGAUACCUGUUUUCACUAACUGGAAGAGAUCUGAAGAGGACUUUUGCUCUUAGGAGGACAGACCUUCAUCAAGGCUGCUGCAGGUCUAUCAGCUUCGUUCCCUGAGAACUAAAGAGCCUCGUAAGAACUUCACGAGGACCGUUUAUCCAGGGAGUCCUCAACCUCAGUUCUCACAGGUAUGAAAGAGAUGACUGACUUUUGCCUUUCCAAGUUCAUAAAGGCAGCUCUUGUUCUUUAUGUCAAGUGUCUUAUUAAAAGCCAGCUGAUGACUAUGUGUGAGGUCACAUCUGGAUGGACAGUUGUGUAAAGGACUCAUACAAAGGUCAAUUCUCUUUGUAUCCACUCCUGAUCUGGUAUUGAAAACAAGUAUGGGCACAGUCUCCUUCACAGGAUGUUACAUUCAAAGGCCACUGGGCUCAAGAUUUCAUCCUCCACGUAAAUAUUCACUUUCACAAUCCCUAAGCAGUAGCUUAUCCUGAGUCCCAUAAUUCAUGGCAUAUACAUUAGUCGUCCACAGGGAGACAUAAAAAUGCUUUUGGUGUGAACCUAGCUUGUGUGUGUUUCAAGCACUAUUUGAUUCGUGGGAGUUACUUAAAAUAGAUGAAAGCAGAGUAAGGUGCCCUUCAGAGAGACUGUCACACCGACUUGCUUUGUACUUGGUAGAUAAAUGUGAUUCAACCUGUUUGAGCAUUUUCGAGGUCAGAGUGAGCAGGCUUGAAUAGCCCACAUCUUCAUGGCCUGGACCUUCUGCCAGGCCAAGAAUAUGGGAAACGCACCACAGCCUGCACUGCACCGUUUAACUCGUCCUGGGAUCCUUCACUCGGUAUUGGUGGUAGUCUGCCGUGACAUAUCUGCAAUUAAAGGGUGAUGUCAGUUGACACAGUGCCACAGAGACCAGUUCAACAUUGUUCCUCAGAAAAUAAGUGCAGGAUUCAAUCCCGAAAACAUUGGUAGUGGUCCAGGGACUGAGUCAUUUGGCUCUGUCGGAGCGUCUGAGCUAGCUGCAACAUGUCAGGAAGCCCAGGUUCCCUGCACACCGUGGAAGCAGGAAAAUGUACUUUGCAAAUAACGUACUGCUCUAGGGAGCUGCUCUUCCCUCACAACUCAAGUCUUACCUUCCUUGUGCGUAUUAACCCCUUUUCUUGCAGCUCACCACUGUGCUGGGCAGGAAGAGCAAAGGCCACACAAUCUGCAUUGUUGCUGUACACUUUGGGGUGCUUGGAGAUUUUUGUUUUCUCCUUUGCUUCUUGCAAAAGAGCUGGGAAUUGGAAGAUUAACCCAACUUAACUUAGGGGCACCUCCCAUUUUGAUGGGAAUAUUUGGAAUGUAUUAUAGACUUGUUAAAAAAAAAAAGCCAGAAGUCUACCCAAAUGACUCUGUACUCAUGUUUGCAGGAUUGAAAUGUCCCACAAAAAAUAAUAAUACCUAGUUUAGAGGAGGGGCACAGGCUGCCCCUCUAAAACGGAGAAUGCGGGUAUGUCUACACUGAUGUUCUCUUGUUGCAGUAACACACUAUCACCAGCUUGGCGUGAAACAACACGAA
Bubalus bubalis (water buffalo) is the source of this 2674-nucleotide long non-coding RNA. RefSeq lists it as uncharacterized. The transcript is spliced from 4 exons. NCBI's taxonomy places the organism in Eukaryota, Metazoa, Chordata, Mammalia, Artiodactyla, Bovidae. The record is from RefSeq and is a predicted model, not a curated record.